RNAcentral lists this long non-coding RNA (435 nucleotides) under Homo sapiens (human). RNAcentral describes it as "HSALNT0135286". Lineage: Eukaryota; Metazoa; Chordata; Mammalia; Primates; Hominidae. The record is from RNAcentral.
CCAAAUGCCAAAAGUUCUAAAGUGAAAUUUAGGGCAACAGAAGAAAUUGGAAAAGACAUUUGGAAAUACAAAGAGAUUUUCGAGGAUCCUGAAAUCAGGGCACAGGUGCAGCUGCCAGCCCUGCCUCCUGUUCAUGCUGGCUCUUGAGUGUCCCUGGAUGAAGAAAUUAAUAAGUUCAAAUACAGUAUCUGAGGGGGAUUGGUUCCAGAACCUCCUGCAGAUACCCAAAUCCAGGAUAGUGCAGAAAGGUGUAUACUAAACAACAUUUGGAAGAAGAAAAACCUGGCAUCAUUCUGAGAAAGUAUUUUCUCUAACUCUGAGCAUGCAGUUAAUUCUAUGGAUAAACUGAAAGGAACAGGAUGGAUAUUGGACAGCUUCCCUGCUUUUCUAGAAUCAAAUGCAAAACUAUUGUUUUAAUUCAAAUCAAUUAUCAAA